GGGAUUAGAUAAGUUUCGACUUCUCACUCCUUUAAUUUUACAUUGUCUGUUAUUGUUUUAUUUUUUCUUUUAUUAUAAUCCUUAAAA
Thalassophryne amazonica is the source of this 87-nucleotide long non-coding RNA. RefSeq lists it as uncharacterized. The record is from RefSeq and is a predicted model, not a curated record. The transcript has 3 exons. Lineage: Eukaryota; Metazoa; Chordata; Actinopteri; Batrachoidiformes; Batrachoididae.